UACACGAAGAAUCACAGGACAGCAAUUUUCUAUUUCCAUCUGGGAUGAAAGGGAAAAAAAUUCCUUUUUUUACCACCUGGUUUUCUUAAUUUCUCCUCCCUUUAGAAGGGAUGCUAAGUAUGGGUUUUCCUAAGGUAUUUUGAAAAUGCACCUCUGUGAAUUUUUGGAAUUCAUGAAGUUGAAGAACUUAAUGAUUGUGCUUUGACUCCUCUCUCAUAAAUGGUAAGUUAUGAAUUGUAUUAUAGGAAAAUAUGAACCUUGUCCUCAUGUUAACUAAGGCAGUGUUCUGAACUGCUCAUCACAAAUGAGAACUAUAAUGAUGUUCAUAAUUUUAUAAUUAUCCAAAUAAUCUUGAUUUCAGUGUAGUUCUCCAAACCCAAAUACAGAUAUGUUAUACUAAUAGAUUAGUGUAAGAGUAAGAUCUAGAAAGUAUGUAUAUUUGGGGACCUGUUUUAAUGAGGUAUUUCAUUGACAUUUUGAACAAAAUUGUUGCAGAACACCAUUACCCUGUAACCUAAAAGUUCUGAGUCAGAAGGAGACAGAAACCAUGUAAUCAUAAAAUAUGUUGCUAUGGAAGGGGCCAUCAGUAUUGUUAAAGUCCAAGUCCUGGCCCUGUGCAGAACACCUCAUAAGCUGAGAGCAUUGUCCAAAUGUUCUUGGACUUUUGUCAGGCUUGGUGCUGUGUCCAUUUCCCUGGAAAUCAUGUUCCAGUACUCAGUCGUCCCCCAGGUGAAAAAUCUUUCCUGGUGUUGAGUGUUAAGCUCCCCUGACUAAGCUUCAUGCCUUUUUCUUGAGUGUUGUGACUGAUGGCAAGAGUGAAGAGAUCCGUACCUGCUGCUCCACUUCUCCUUGUGAGAAUGAUGAAAACCACAAUGAAGUCUCCUCUACUGUUGCAAUAUGUUCUGCUAAAAGGACUCUACUGUCUAUAAUUGAAAUAUAAUUCCCUCUGUACCACUGAGUACAGAAGGAAGUUUGAGUCUUUUUUAAGCUAAAGCUCUCUAUUUAAACUUGGGUCAGAAUAUGAGUCAAGAUCAUCUUUGUUCUUGUGUCUUUGUCAGAAUGAGUAACAUCUUUGGCUCAGGUUCUCUUCUCUUUGGAAGCCCAGAGGAAAAAGGCUCAGGAUAUCACCAGCUUCACAUCACUUUCCCAACAGUUACAUGGAACAGCAGCUGUCAUACUGGAGGAAACCCAGCGAGUCUGUCCAAGAGGAGCUGUACAGCCACCAGCCAUAUUCCCUGGGGAUCCAUCACCAGCAGGAAUCCUGUGUCUUUGGAGCAGUCAUUAAUGUUCCAGCCAGUACAGCUCUGAGUGAAACAUUAUCUUUCAGUUUGAAAUGUCCCUAGGACAUGUGUAUUUUUACUGCUGGAAGGAAAGACCAAUGAUAUGCAAGAUGGAGAGCAAGAAAUUUCACAGGACAGGAAUGUUCAUUUAUGCAGAGCUGCAUCAGGUAUAUGCUCAAAAGAAAAAAAUUGUCAAGAAGUGACGGUGUUUAACAGUGUGAGAAAGAGAUAAUCAAUAGAUAGACCAGACUACAGAUGUGACCUUUCAUGGCACUGAUGUUGAUGUAGUCUUAAACUGAAAAAAAACAAGCUUGCUUCUGUGGAUUAAACACAAGGAAAUGCAUGUAGAAGAUGAACUUUCUAUUAAUACUCUUAUUUUUAAGUCUCUGUAAUUUUUUUUUAAGUGCUGAAGGAUUAUUCAUUUUGAUACAUUGUUUCUCCAACAGAUAGGCAAUUAAUUGAAAUGGCCAAUAUUUUUUCUGAAAGUAUUAAUCACUGUAUUUUAUUUUGUAAUACAAGAUCAUAUUGUUCUAAGGAUUGUCAUUCUUGGAUGUGUUUGAUUCAAAUGAAAACAAAGGAACCAGAAGUAUAUGUUUACUUGAUUCAAAAACACAGCUAGUAAGCUGGUCUUUUGCUUCAUUCAGCAAACAUUCCUGACAGAUACUUUUCAUGUGUUCUCAAAAACUCCUAGUGAUGUAGAUCCCGAAACUUUAUAAUAGAUUAUGCUACUGUUCUGUUAUAAAAUUUAAAAGUCCCCUUUUUUUUUUCCAAUGUCACAGUUUCAUUUUGUAACAUAAACCUUCGAUAGUUCUUUAUAUAUUGACAUAAUGGGAAUGACAAAUAGUCUAUAUAUGCCCUCUUCAAUUAAAACUUUUUUAAUAAGAAAUUUGUGACAGUGCUAGGCUGCAUUUGAAGAUGGGUAGAAAGGAAAAUAAAGUUUAAAACUAUUAUAGUGUUCUUCUUAAUAUCUCUAAAUAAAGGCAUUUUCGUUUGAAA
Non-coding RNA from Cyanistes caeruleus (blue tit), 2276 nucleotides. NCBI's taxonomy places the organism in Eukaryota, Metazoa, Chordata, Aves, Passeriformes, Paridae. The record is from RefSeq and is a predicted model, not a curated record.